RNAcentral lists this long non-coding RNA (2196 nucleotides) under Prunus persica (peach). RNAcentral describes it as "long non-coding RNA (PPER_LNC008060)". The record is from RNAcentral. Lineage: Eukaryota; Viridiplantae; Streptophyta; Magnoliopsida; Rosales; Rosaceae.
ACCGAAUGAUCCCAACGCUGUCUUGUAAGAUCUGCACACCAAAAAAAAAUAAAUUAAAUCAACCUCUUUGGGGCAAUUCUCUUUAGGCUCUCACAAGCUAGAUGCAAAGACGAGAGUGUUGGACUUGGAGAAAUCAUUCCAUAAGCCAAGAGGCAACUAGACUGCUACAUUAAGAUUGAUAAACAUAUCCGGAAAAGAGCUACAAAAAAUAAUGUCUCAUGUUUCAUUCAUGAUUGCAAAAAAAAUUAAAUGAGAAAAAAGUUAAAUAAUGGCAUAAUGUCGUUUCUUUCAUUUUAUUUUUUGGGGCUGGUGAGAGUCUGGUAGGUUUAUGUAGGUGAAACAAAUGAGAGGAAGGGUUUAGAACCCUCUCUAUCACAGAGAAGACAAGAAGCACACUCGGUGGGCUCCACUGGUCUUAGGAUGAAUCAAUCAAUAUAUCAAGAUAUGAGCAGAUGAGGGUAGUUUUGAUUAAGUGGAAUUUGAAAUUAGAAUGAAGAAGAAAAUUCUUCUACUUGGAACAAACGAGGAUCUUGAUUAAGGUUAAUAGGAAUUGGGGAUUGGGAUGAAGAAAAAAUUACUUUUACCUCGAAUAUUCGAGGAUCAAAGAAGAAAAACACAAUCAACUGUAGCAACGUACUGGAACAGAUAAGGAUGUCAUCGUGUUAUGCUAUGUCAAAUAUUACUCUUAAUUAACAUUAAGAGGAAUUAGAAAUUUAGAUGUAGAAGAAACUUUUUUUACCAGGAACAGACGAGGAUCUUAAUUAAAGUUAAUUGGGGAUUGGCGUGAAGAAGAAAUUAUUUUUACCCGGAACAUGCGAGUUUGAGAGAAGAAAAACGCAAUCACCUAUAAUAGUGCACUACUGGAACAAACAAAGAUCUCAUUGUGUGGUGGGGUGCUAAAGAUUAAAAGAAAUUGGAGAUCGGGAUGAAGAAUAAAUUACUUUUACCUGAAAUAGAUGAGGAUCUCAUCGUGUGGUGCGGUGUCAAAGAUUUAGAGGAAUUGGGGUUCGGGAUGAAGAAGAAAUCAAUUAUACUUGCAAGAAAAUUUAUUUGUCAUGCAAAAGUAGCUGUUUGUUUUGGUCUUGAUUUUCUCCUUGAGAACUCAUUGUUCUAUGGAAGAUGGUGGUGGGAGCUCGUUGGCAUACACAAAACCAGCAAGUGCGCUUGAGUAUCUGUUACCACUUCACCCUCUUCUCUCAAGUCUUCAUCUUCUUCUGGGAGUGGUGUGGCAGAUGGCUCUAGUAGCACAAAGAUGGCAGGUGUUACAGGAUCUCCAUCAAUUGGUUACGGAUCAUUGUACAUGUUUCUCAUAAUGGAUGAGAUACUGAUCCACAUCAACUACAGAAACACAGCUCCAAGGAAAAAGUUACAAAAAAUAAUUUCUCAUAUUUCAUUCAUGACUCCAAAAAAAAAAAAAAAAGAGGCAUAGUGUCAUUUCUUUUCUUUUCUUUUCUUUUGUUUUUUGGGUCAGGUGACGGUUUGAUAGGUUUGUAGAGGUGGAACAAAAUGAGAGGAAUUCAGAAACCCUCUCUGCCACAAAGAAGACAAGAAGCACUCUCGGUGGGCUCCAUAAGAGUAAUAUUGAUUAAGGUUAAUAGGAAUUGGAAAUUGGGAUGAAGAAAAAAUUACUUUUACCUAGGACAUUCGAGGAUCAGAGAAGAAAACCACAAUCAACUAUAGCCACACACUACUAGAACAGAGGAGGAUCUCAUUGUUUGGUGGGGUGCCAAAGACUAAAAGAAAUUGGGGAUUGGGAUGAAGAAUAAAUUACUUUUACCUGGAAUAGACGAGGAUCUCAUUUUGUGGUGCAGUAACUACUACAAAAAACACUUUUCGCGACAAAAUAAGUUUGUUGCGCAAAGUACAAUUUCGUUGCGCAAAACUUCGCGCAUGAUCUGUCGCGCAAAAUUCGUGAAGAAAGGGUUUGCGCGACGAAAAAUAUUUUUCGUCACACAAAGUAUCUAUGAGCAACGAACCUUAACAUCACACAAUGAUACUUUGCGCGACGAAACAUAUUGGUCGCGCAAAGUUUUGCGAGACGAAAAAGUAUUGGUCGCGCAAAACUUUGCAGGACGAAAAAGUAUUGGUUGCGCGACGAAAAAGUAUUGGUAGCGGAAAGGCAAACAAAAUUAUAAAAAAAUAAAAAUAAAAAUCUCGUGUCCCAUUUUUGGUACCUGCCCAAAUUUUUAAAGUUUU